UACGAAGGGGGCUAGCGUUGCUCGGAAUCACUGGGCGUAAAGCGCACGUAGGCGGACUCUUAAGUCGGUGGUGAAAUCCUGGAGCUCAACUCCAGAACUGCCUUCGAUACUGAGAGUCUCGAGUCCGGAAGAGGUAAGUGGAACUGCGAGUGUAGAGGUGAAAUUCGUAGAUAUUCGCAAGAACACCAGUGGCGAAGGCGGCUUACUGGUCCGGUUCUGACGCUGAGGCGCGAAAGCGUGGGGAGCAAACAGG
This 253-nucleotide ribosomal RNA is filed under the name uncultured bacterium. RNAcentral's name for it is "partial 16S ribosomal RNA". It matches the Rfam family "Bacterial small subunit ribosomal RNA", at positions 524 to 776 of the family's 1533-position model. The record is from RNAcentral.